GAUGAAGAACGUAGCGAAAUGCGAUACUUGGUGUGAAUUGCAGAAUCCCGUGAACCAUCGAGUCUUUGAACGCAAGUUGCGCCUCAAGCCAUUAGGUUGAGGGCACGUCUGCCUGGGCGUCACAUAUCGUUGCCUGAUGCCAGUUUCCUCGUGAUGGGUGACUGUGCAGGGCGAAUGAUGGCUUCCCGUGAGCAUUGUUGCCUCAUGGUUGGUUGAAAAUUGAGUCCUUGGUAGGGAGCGCCGUGAUAGAUGGUGGUUGAGUGACGAACGAGACCCAAUCAUGUGAGACCCCUACCGAAUUUGGCCUUCAUGACCCACAUGCGUCUUUGGAACGCUCAUGACGAGACCUCAGGUCAGGCAGGGCUACCCGCUGAGUUUAAGCAUAUCAAUAAGCGGAGGA
RNAcentral lists this unclassified non-coding RNA (400 nucleotides) under soil metagenome. RNAcentral describes it as "partial contains 5.8S ribosomal RNA, internal transcribed spacer 2, and large subunit ribosomal RNA". The stretch from base 1 to 122 matches the Rfam family "5.8S ribosomal RNA", at positions 35 to 154 of the family's 154-position model. The record is from RNAcentral.